This 253-nucleotide ribosomal RNA is filed under the name uncultured bacterium. RNAcentral describes it as "partial 16S ribosomal RNA". It matches the Rfam family "Bacterial small subunit ribosomal RNA", at positions 524 to 776 of the family's 1533-position model. The record is from RNAcentral.
UACGGAGGGUGCAAGCGUUAUCCGGAUUCACUGGGUUUAAAGCGUGCGCAGGCGGUUUUUUAAGCCAGAUGUGAAAGCCCCGGGCUCAACCUGGGAAUGGCAUUUGGGACUGCAAGGCUUGAGUGCGGCAGAGGAGACUGGAAUUCCUGGUGUAGCAGUGAAAUGCGUAGAUAUCAGGAGGAACACCGAUGGCGAAGGCAGGUCUCUGGGCUGACACUGACGCUCAUGCACGAAAGCGUGGGGAGCAAACAGG